Molecule: ribosomal RNA, 445 nt
Filed under: uncultured bacterium
Lineage: Bacteria
Description: partial 16S ribosomal RNA
Rfam family: Bacterial small subunit ribosomal RNA
Source: RNAcentral
GUAGGGAAUAUUGGACAAUGGGCGAAAGCCUGAUCCAGCCAUGCCGCGUGAUAGAUGAAGGCCCUCUGGGUUGUAAAUAUCUUUUAUCUGGGAAGAAACUCCUCUAUUCUUAGAGGCCUGACGGUACCAGAGGAAUAAGCACCGGCUAACUCCGUGCCAGCAGCCGCGGUAAUACGGAGGGUGCAAGCGUUAUCCGGAUUCACUGGGUUUAAAGGGUGCGUAGGCGGGUUGAUAAGUCAGUGGUGAAAGCUCCGGGCUUAACUUGGAAACUGCCAUUGAUACUGUCAAUCUUGAAUGUCGUAGAGGUAAGCGGAAUGUUGCAUGUAGCGGUGAAAUGCUUAGAUAUGUUACAGAACACCAAUUGCGAAGGCAGCUUACUAUGCGAUAAGUGACGCUGAGGCACGAAAGCGUGGGGAGCAAACAGGAUUAGAAACCCCGGUAGUCC